CAGCAAUCUGACUUUGGUCCGACCCAACGGGAGUUAGUGUAUGAUGAUACCGAUAGUGUGUCAGCAAGCCAUGGGAAAAGACGGAAAACAGGUUGUGUGGAAAGAAAACGGGGACAUAACAAAAAGCACAGUGGUAA
This is a long non-coding RNA of Helianthus annuus (common sunflower), 137 nucleotides long. RefSeq lists it as uncharacterized. The transcript has 3 exons. The record is from RefSeq and is a predicted model, not a curated record. Lineage: Eukaryota; Viridiplantae; Streptophyta; Magnoliopsida; Asterales; Asteraceae.